This 203-nucleotide microRNA precursor is filed under the name Oryza brachyantha (malo sina). RNAcentral describes it as "MIR812 microRNA precursor family". It matches the Rfam family "MIR812 microRNA precursor family". The record is from Rfam by way of RNAcentral. Lineage: Eukaryota; Viridiplantae; Streptophyta; Magnoliopsida; Poales; Poaceae.
AGCAAACCAAUUUUUCACUUUCUACUUAUAAUGUUUGACUUUUCGUUUUAUUAAAAAAAUUACGAUUAACAAUUUUAUUUUUAUUAGAUGAUAAAUCAUGAAUUAUACUUAAUGUGUAAGUAACUUUUUUUAAUUUCUUAAAAAAAAUUCAAAUAAGACGGAUAAUCAAACACUGAACACGAAAACCGAAGAGUUGACUUAUU